CCACGGGGGCAGCAGUGGGGAAUAUUGGACAAUGGGGGAAACCCUGAUCCAGCGACGCCGCGUGAGUGAAGAAGUAUUUCGGUAUGUAAAGCUCUAUCAGCAGGGAAGAAAAUGACGGUACCUGACUAAGAAGCCCCGGCUAACUACGUGCCAGCAGCCGCGGUAAUACGUAGGGGGCAAGCGUUAUCCGGAUUUACUGGGUGUAAAGGGAGCGUAGACGGCAUAGCAAGUCUGAUGUGAAAGAUCGGGGCUCAACCCCGGGCCUGCAUUGGAAACUGUUAAGCUGGAGUACAGGAGAGGUAAGC
RNAcentral lists this ribosomal RNA (305 nucleotides) under uncultured bacterium. Its description in RNAcentral is "bacterial SSU rRNA". It matches the Rfam family "Bacterial small subunit ribosomal RNA", at positions 339 to 662 of the family's 1533-position model. The record is from RNAcentral.